GAGAAUAAGGUGGUCGAGCCCGCUAAUACGGUGAGUUAUGCAGUUAAGGUGAGCCUUGAGGUCCGGGAGGAGCUGGAGAGAGCGAGGUCGAGGCACAAUUCAGCGGUCACGCCGUUGCCCACCACUUGGUCGAAACCGGAUGUUGGUUGGACGAAAGUGAAUGUGGAUGCGGGUGUUCUGGGAGAUACUGGCACAGGUAUUGGCAUGGUGAUGAGGGACAGUGAAGGAGUGAUCGUGGCUUGCUCUUCAUGGCAGGGUACGGAGAAGUGGGAAACUAGGGUGGCGGAAGCCAAGGCCGUGGCUAUGGGCCUGCAGCUAGCUCAGGAGAUGGGAGUAAGGGAUGUGGAAAUGGAAAGUGAUUGUCUGAUGGUAAUACAAGCGUUGCGUGGUGGCUCUCAAGGAAACAACAGCUUUUCUCUAGUGAUAGAUAAUAUCCUUGAUUUAUGCUCUAGCUUUGAUAAUGUUAAAUGGUCUUUUGUCAAACGUAGUGGUAAUCGGGUAGCUCACAAUUUAGCUCAUUUUCAACCAUGGAAUUUUGGGCAGCGAGUGUGGGUUAACGAUGUACCGAAUGAUGUGUUGAAUGUUGAUUUUUUUGACCUAUUAAUAUAAUUCCCCUCUAAGGGUUCCCUCAAAAAAAAAUAAAAAAAAAAUAACGCUAGACUGCUGGAGUAACCUAAGGUCCUAAACCUAAUUCAUUUUGCCUUUCCGCCGUUCUGGCUCUUCUCCUCUCACUGUGUUUCUCUCUCAAAAAUCUUUCACUCUUCGAAUUUUCUCAAUCGAGGACGCCGGGCCGCCGCUCCUUCUCUCCAAUCUCCAUCUCCAUCAUCUUCUCUCAUACUUAACGAGUUCGCCCGACCGCCGCUCCUCCUCUCCAUCUCCAUCAUCUGAGUUUGUCGAAGUUUUCCAAGCACUAUAUAUGGAAUUUUCAAGUAGUGGGGAAAUGCAUGAUUCGUCUUCCACAAGUCAUGCUCCUCCAAACGCGAAUUUGGUGAGGAUGGUGUUUCUGUACCAGAAUUUCAAAGAGCAAGCUUGAAAUGUCUAAAGCUUUUGCCUUGCCUACGUGGCAAAUUAUAUAUGUAAUAUUGGUUAAUUGAGAACAUUUUAUUUUAUCUUGUGUAAUUAUGUGGAUUAUUUGUUGUUUAUGUAGUUGAUAAUUAGUUAAUCGUGACUCGUGAGCGUUGAAUACUUUAUAACAUAUGAUCGUAUAUUUUUCGGUCAUUAGAGCCUUAUGAGGCAUAAAAUCAGCUAUGUAAUAUGGACUUAUCAGCUAUGGAAUAUGUACUUAUGCAA
Molecule: long non-coding RNA, 1290 nt
Organism: Spinacia oleracea (spinach)
Lineage: Eukaryota; Viridiplantae; Streptophyta; Magnoliopsida; Caryophyllales; Amaranthaceae
Exons: 2
Source: RefSeq, a predicted model, not a curated record